GGAAUGUAUAUAUACAUUGGUAGAGGAGCAUUCUUAAAGGGACGAAGCAGUACCGGAAGGAGCUGUGGACUUUUAAGAAGAGAGAAUGCCGGAAUGAGUAGCGAGAUAGAGGUGGGAAUCCUCUAGGCCGAAUAUCUAAGGUUUCCAGGGUAAAGCUGAUCUGCCCUGGGUAAGUCGGGGCCUAAGGCGAGGCUGAGAAGCGUAGCCGAUGGACAACAGGUUGAAAUUCCUGUACUAUAGCAUGUCAGAACUGUGGGGACACAGAAGGAAAGGGAGAGCCGGGAAUGAAGAUACCGGUGCAAGCGAGGUAGGAGUUAAGCUGGAAAAACCGUUUAACAAUCCGAAGACGUGAUGCGGACCGAAAAUAAGUAGGGAAGCUCCUGAGCCAGCUGUCGAGAAAAGCCGCUAUUGUGCAUGUUAUACCCGUACCGUAAACCGACACAGGUGGAUGAGGAGAGAAUCCUAAGGCCGGCGGGAGAAGCAUUGUUAAGGAACUCGGCAAAAUGACCCUGUAACUUCGGGAGAAAGGGUGCCUCUGAGAAGAGGCCGCAGAGAAUUGGCCCAAGCAACUGUUUAGCAAAAACACAGGUCUAUGCGAAACCGUAAGGUGAGGUAUAUGGGCUGACGCCUGCCCGGUGCUGGAAGGUUAAGGGGAGAGGUUAGCGCAAGCGAAGCUUUGAACUUAAGCCCCAGUAAACGGCGGCCGUAACUAUAACGGUCCUAAGGUAGCGAAAUUCCUUGUCGGGUAAGUUCCGACCCGCACGAAAGGCGUAAUGAUUUGGGCACUGUCUCAACAAUGCACCCGGUGAAAUUGAAGUACCAGUGAAGAUGCUGGUUACCUGCGCCAGGACGGAAAGACCCCAUGGAGCUUUACUCCAGCUUGGUACUGGGAUUCGGUAUUGCAUGUACAGGAUAGGUGGGAGGCUGAGAAGUGGACGCCAGUUGCCGCGGAGCCGCUGUUGGGAUACCACCCUUGCGAUAUUGGAUUUCUAACCAGUCACCGUGAUCCGGUGAUGGGACAAUGCCAGGCGGGGAGUUUGACUGGGGCGGUCGCCUCCGAAAGGGUAUCGGAGGCGCCCAAAGGUUCCCUCAGGAUGGUUGGAAACCAUCCGAAGAGUGCAAGGGCAGAAGGGAGCUUGACUGCGACACCGACGGGUGGAGCAGGUACGAAAGUAGGGCUUAGUGAUCCGGUGGUAUUAAGUGGGAAUGCCAUCGCUCAACGGAUAAAAGCUACCCUGGAUAACAGGCUUAUCACUCCCAAGAGUUCACAUCGACGGAGUGGUUUGGCACCUCGAUGUCGGCUCAUCGCAUCCUGGGGCUGAAGUAGGUCCCAAGGGUUGGGCUGUUCGCCCAUUAAAGCGGUACGCGAGCUGGGUUCAGAACGUCGUGAGACAGUUCGGUCCCUAUCCGGCGCGGGCGUAAGAUAUCUGAGAGGAGCUGUCCUUAGUACGAGAGGACCGGGAUGGACUGACCUCUGGUGUACCGGUUGCAUAUCAGAUGCAUAGCCGGGUAGCCAAGUCGGGAAGGGAUAAACGCUGAAGGCAUCUAAGCGUGAAGCCCCCCUCGAGAUGAGAUAUCUCAUAGCAGAAGCUAGUAAGACCCCUUGAAGACGACGAGGUAGAUAGGGCAGAGGUGGAAGCACAGUAAUGUGUGGAGCUGACUGUUACUAAUCGGUCGAGGGCUUAUCC
Molecule: ribosomal RNA, 1688 nt
Filed under: metagenome
Description: bacterial LSU rRNA
Rfam family: Bacterial large subunit ribosomal RNA
Source: RNAcentral